This 70-nucleotide transfer RNA is filed under the name Oesophagostomum dentatum (nodular worm). It matches the Rfam family "tRNA". Rfam says of the family: Transfer RNA (tRNA) molecules are approximately 80 nucleotides in length. Their secondary structure includes four short double-helical elements and three loops (D, anti-codon, and T loops). Lineage: Eukaryota; Metazoa; Nematoda; Chromadorea; Rhabditida; Strongylidae. The record is from Rfam by way of RNAcentral.
UCGUUCAUGGCUCAGUGGCUAGUGCUUCAGACUGUAGAUCAGAAAAUGAGGGGUUUGAUUCCCCUUCGAA